AGAAUGAACGCUGGCGGCGUGCUUUACACAUGCAAGUCGAGCGAGGCGUGUAGCAAUACACAGCCCUAGCGGCGAACGGGUGAGUAACGCGUGGAUGACCUGCCCUUCAGCGGGGAAUAACCCGGGGGAAACUCGGGCUAAUACCGCAUACGACCGAGAGGUGAAAGGGGGCCGCAAGGCUCUCACUGAAGGAGGGGUCCGCGUUCGAUUAGCUAGUUGGUAGGGUAAUGGCCUACCAAGGCGACGAUCGAUAGCCGGCCUGAGAGGGUGAUCGGCCACACUGGAACUGAGACACGGUCCAGACUCCUACGGGAGGCAGCAGUGGGGAAUUUGCGCAAUGGGCUAACGCCUGACGCAGCAACGCCGCGUGGAGGAUGAAGGUCUUGGAUUGUAAACUCCUGUCAGCAGGAAAAGGAUAAGACCUCAUACGUCUUAAACUUGAUUGUACCUGCAGAGAAGCCCCGGCUAACUCUGUGCCAGCAGCCGCGGUAAUCUAGA
Molecule: ribosomal RNA, 498 nt
Filed under: uncultured soil bacterium
Lineage: Bacteria
Description: bacterial SSU rRNA
Rfam family: Bacterial small subunit ribosomal RNA
Source: RNAcentral